Molecule: ribosomal RNA, 253 nt
Filed under: uncultured bacterium
Lineage: Bacteria
Description: partial 16S ribosomal RNA
Rfam family: Bacterial small subunit ribosomal RNA
Source: RNAcentral
UACGAAGGGGGCUAGCGUUGUUCGGAAUUACUGGGCGUAAAGGGCGCGUAGGCGGUGUGUCAAGUCAGGCGUGAAAGCCCCGGGCUCAACCUGGGAACCGCGCUUGAGACUGGCACGCUCGAGUUCGGGAGAGGAUGGUGGAAUUCCCAGUGUAGAGGUGAAAUGCGCAGAUAUCAGGAGGAACACCGAUUGCGAAGGCAGCUCGCUGGGACGUAACUGACGCUGAGACGCGAAAGCGUGGGGAGCAAACAGG